UCUCCGUUGGUGAACCAGCGGAGGGAUCAUUACCGAGUUUACAACUCCCAAACCCAAUGUGAACGUUACCAAACUGUUGCCUCGGCGGGGUCACGCCCCGGGUGCGUCGCAGCCCCGGAACCAGGCGCCCGCCGGAGGAACCAACCAAACUCUUUCUGUAGUCCCCUCGCGGACGUUAUUUCUUACAGCUCUGAGCAAAAAUUCAAAAUGAAUCAAAACUUUCAACAACGGAUCUCUUGGUUCCG
This 245-nucleotide unclassified non-coding RNA is filed under the name plant metagenome. RNAcentral's name for it is "partial contains small subunit ribosomal RNA, internal transcribed spacer 1, and 5.8S ribosomal RNA". The record is from RNAcentral.